CAUAAUACUCUCCUUGAUGA
RNAcentral lists this transfer RNA (20 nucleotides) under Capra hircus (goat). Its description in RNAcentral is "partial tRNA-Lys". The record is from RNAcentral. Lineage: Eukaryota; Metazoa; Chordata; Mammalia; Artiodactyla; Bovidae.